This 1303-nucleotide long non-coding RNA is filed under the name Oryctolagus cuniculus (rabbit). Its description in RNAcentral is "lncRNA (ENSOCUG00000038875.1)". Lineage: Eukaryota; Metazoa; Chordata; Mammalia; Lagomorpha; Leporidae. The record is from RNAcentral.
AUGGCUCCGUGGAACGCAGAGCUGGGGUGGCUAGGGACCCUGCAGUUUGCCCCAUGUGUUCACCAGCGUCUGCUGACCAGGAUUCCAUGGGCUCCUCCGAGCCCCUGCACAGUCUGCCUGUGGACUCAGGUCUCCAGAAGUGGUCAUCGUACGUGGCCUUGGGACCACAUCAGACCGCAGUCCCCAGACGCCUGCCAAGCCCAGCCUUGCCCAGCAGCCUCACCCAGCUCUGCCACCAAACUCUCACGUCUUGUCCUCCUCCAUGGAGAUCCGAGCCUUACACCGUUCUCACCAGGACCUUGACAGAUGUUCCAGGGAGCCUGUAGGUGAGGGGAGAAGAAUUGUCAUGCCAGCUACGCUGAGUCUCCCGGUGCCUGGCCACAGGAGAAGAAUUGUCACCUUGGCUACGCUGAAUUUCCCGAUGCCUGGCCACAGGACAUGUGCACGUUUAUUUACACUGCAGAGCGUGCAUGCCUAAGUCUGGGGACGAACAAUGGGUGUAGGGCCAGCACCAUGGCUCACUUAGUUAAUCCUCCGCCUGCGGUGCCGGCAUCCAAUAUGGGUGCCAGGUUCUAGUCCUGGUCGCUCCUCUUCCAGUCCAGCUCUCUGCUGUGGCCCGGGAAGGCAAUAGAAGAUGGCCCAAGUGCUUGGACCCUGCACCUGCAUGGGAGACCAGGAGGAAGUACCUGGCUCCUGGCUCCGGAUAGGCGCAAAGCACCGGCCAUGUCUGCCAUUUGGGGGGUGAACCAAUGGAAGGAAGACCUUUCUCUCUGUCUCUCUUUCACUGUCUAUAACUCUACCUGUCAAAAAAAAAAUGUGCCCAAGAGUGAGGACUGACUGUGCAUCCCUGAGUGUGAGGACUGACUGUGCGCCCCUGAGGCUGAGAGCUGACUGUGUGCCCCAAGACUGAGGACUGACUGUGUGCCCCGAGGCUGAGAGCUGACUGUGUGCCCCAAGGCUGAGGGCUGACUGUGCACGUGCCUGUGCUUAAUUUCCUCGCGCUAGCUUUCACGCCCUCCCCACCUACACAGUUACCCGCUGUUACUCAGAACAGACCCGCCUUCUCGUUUGGCAAGAUUGCUUUGCUAAAUGUCAAGCCUAUUAGUUUUAUGCUGCCUCUUCUCUCUUUAAUGAGGCAGGUUGUCUCUGUGAGUUAGUGUUCUGCCUUCCCCUGAAACACUGUCUCUCCUUCAAACAUGCACCAAGCAUACCUCUUGGAAAUGACUUUUCUUUCCUGAGAAACCAUUGGUUUUGUUUUCUGAUUUCUUCAGGACAAAAAUACUUUGUUGCCAAGUGUCUUUCA